RNAcentral lists this ribosomal RNA (483 nucleotides) under uncultured bacterium. RNAcentral's name for it is "partial 16S ribosomal RNA". It matches the Rfam family "Bacterial small subunit ribosomal RNA", at positions 29 to 507 of the family's 1533-position model. The record is from RNAcentral.
UUGAACGCUGGCGGAAUGCUUUACACAUGCAAGUCGAACGGCAGCACGGGGGCAGCCCUGGUGGCGAGUGGCGAACGGGUGCGUAAUACAUCGGAACCUGCCCGGUCGUGGGGGAUAACGUAGCGAAAGUUACGCUAAUACCGCAUACGAUCUGAGGAUGAAAGCGGGGGACCUUCGGGCUCUGCGCGAUCGGAGCGCACGAUGUCAGCUUCGCUAGUUGGCGGGGUAAAGGCCUACCGAGCCGACGAUCUGUAGCUGGUCUGAGAGGACGACCAGCCACACUGGGACUGAGACACGGCCCAGAGUCCUAGAAGGUGCAGCAGUGGGGAAUUUUGGACAAUGGGCGCAAGCCUGAUCCGUCCAUUCCGCGUGCAGGACGAAGUGGUGCGGGUUGUAAACUGCUUUUGCACGGAACGAAAAGGGUCUGGCUAAUACCUGGGGCGCAUGACGGUACCGUAAGAAUAAGCACCGGCUAACUACGUG